UGUACGCUUGCUUACCUUUUUUACUAAAUAGUUGGGGUGAGAUAUCCCUGCUUUAAUAAAUGGUCUACUUCACAUUGUAGUAAUCUACAAUCUGCCAUUUUAUGACCAUGAUCUUUAUGAAACUCACACCAGUGAUCAGGGUUACGCCUAUUUGGAUUCGAUCUCAUUUUUGUUAGAAUAUAUGCUCUUCACUAGAGGGGGGGUGAAUAGUGAGGCACGAGAAUGUAGGUAAAAUUUUGAGGAAUUGAAAUUGCAGGAGUAAAGU
RNAcentral lists this long non-coding RNA (265 nucleotides) under Nicotiana benthamiana. Its description in RNAcentral is "long non-coding RNA (NBEN_LNC019337)". Lineage: Eukaryota; Viridiplantae; Streptophyta; Magnoliopsida; Solanales; Solanaceae. The record is from RNAcentral.